UACAGAGGGUGCAAGCGUUAAUCGGAAUUACUGGGCGUAAAGCGUGCGUAGACGGUUAUGUAAGUCGGGUGUGAAAGCCCCGGGCUCAACCUGGGAAUUGCAUUCGAGACUGUGUAGCUAGGGUACGGAAGAGGGAAGCGGAAUUUCAGGUGUAGCGGUGAAAUGCGUAGAUAUCUGAAGGAACACCAGUGGCGAAAGCGGCUUCCUGGUCCAGUACCGACGUUCAGACACGAAAGCGUGGGGAGCAAACAGG
RNAcentral lists this ribosomal RNA (253 nucleotides) under uncultured bacterium. Its description in RNAcentral is "partial 16S ribosomal RNA". It matches the Rfam family "Bacterial small subunit ribosomal RNA", at positions 524 to 776 of the family's 1533-position model. The record is from RNAcentral.